RNAcentral lists this transfer RNA (33 nucleotides) under Lathyrus pratensis (meadow pea). RNAcentral describes it as "partial tRNA-Leu". Lineage: Eukaryota; Viridiplantae; Streptophyta; Magnoliopsida; Fabales; Fabaceae. The record is from RNAcentral.
AAAAUCCGUCGACUUUAGAAAUCGUGAGGGUUA